AACGCUAGCCGGCAGGCUUAACACAUGCAAGUCGAGGGGCAGCGGGUUGUAGCAAUACAAUGCCGGCGACCGGCGAAAGGGUGAGUAACGCGUGAGCAACAUGCCCGAUAGAGGAGGAUAGUCGAUGGAAACGUCGCGUAAUACUCCGUAACAACAGUUCUCGCAUGGGAGUUGUUUAAUAGAUUUAUCGCUAUCGGAUUGGCUCGCGUCCCAUUAGGCAGUUGGCGGGGUAACGGCCCACCAAACCGACGAUGGGUAGGGGUUCUGAGAGGAAGGUCCCCCACAUUGGAACUGAGACACGGUCCAGACUCCUACGGGAGGCAGCAGUGAGGAAUAUUGGUCAAUGGCCGAGAGGCUGAACCAGCCAUGCCGCGUGCGGGAGGACGGCCCUAUGGGUUGUAAACCGCUUUUGUUGGGGAGCAAUAAGGUCCACGUGUGGAUCGAUGAGAGUACCCAGCGAAUAAGCAUCGGCUAACUCCGUGCCAGCAGCCGCGGUAAUACGGAGGAUGCAAGCGUUAUCCGGAUUUAUUGGGUUUAAAGGGUGCGUAGGCGGAGCUUUAAGCGUGAGGUGAAAUGCCUCAGCUCAACUGUGGAACUGCCUCGCGAACUGGAGUUCUAGAAUGCCCCUGCCGUGGGAGGAAUGUGUGGUGUAGCGGUGAAAUGCAUAGAGAUCACACAGAACACCGAUUGCGAAGGCAUCUCACGAGGGGGUGAUUGACGCUGAGGCACGAAAGCGUGGGGAUCAAACAGGAUUAGAUACCCUGGUAGUCCACGCAGUAAACGAUGAUAACUACCGCUGGUCCUUU
RNAcentral lists this ribosomal RNA (806 nucleotides) under uncultured rumen bacterium. Its description in RNAcentral is "bacterial SSU rRNA". It matches the Rfam family "Bacterial small subunit ribosomal RNA", at positions 32 to 831 of the family's 1533-position model. The record is from RNAcentral.